Molecule: unclassified non-coding RNA, 219 nt
Filed under: soil metagenome
Description: partial contains 5.8S ribosomal RNA, internal transcribed spacer 2, and large subunit ribosomal RNA
Source: RNAcentral
AACGAGGCCGACCUGCGGCUGAGUUACCUGCGGAGGGAUCAUUACAAGUGACCCCGGUCUAACCACCGGGAUGUUCAUAACCCUUUGUUGUCCGACUCUGUUGCCUCCGGGGCGACCCUACCUUCGGGCGGGGGCUCCGGGUGGACACUUCAAACUCUUGCGUAACUUUGCAGUCUGAGUAAACUUAAUUAAUAAAUUAAAACUUUUAACAAUGGAUCU